CGGUGUCUAUGAUCCUUACAUCAA
RNAcentral lists this non-coding RNA (24 nucleotides) under Arabidopsis thaliana (thale cress). The record is from RNAcentral. Lineage: Eukaryota; Viridiplantae; Streptophyta; Magnoliopsida; Brassicales; Brassicaceae.